Tachysurus fulvidraco (yellow catfish) is the source of this 1839-nucleotide long non-coding RNA. RefSeq lists it as uncharacterized. The record is from RefSeq and is a predicted model, not a curated record. The transcript is spliced from 2 exons. Lineage: Eukaryota; Metazoa; Chordata; Actinopteri; Siluriformes; Bagridae.
GUGUGUGUGAGAGAGAGAGAGAGAGAGAGAGAGAGAGAGAGAGAGAGAGAGAGAGAGAGAGCACAUUACAGGCCCAGACAGAUCUGUAAGAAUCAGCGCUGUAGCUCAGCAGUGCAGGAUUGUAAUGGAGUAUGUUUGUGUCUCUUCUCUUCUCUUCUCUUCUCUUCUCUUCUCUUCUCUUCUCUUCUCUUCUCUUCUCUUUUUCACCUAUGCUAUACUUGACAGUCUGCUAACAGCAGAGUUUAAACUUUAUUGCUAAAAUUCUUUUUCAUGCUAAUUCUGUUUUGUUCUGUUUUCAUUUGUUAAUGAAAAAAAACAACCCAGAGACUUUUAGGAAACCUUUAGCCACAUAACUAGCUAACAUCAGUAAUGUGAAGGAGAAAUGAUUACUAACUAGCCACUGGCUAACUGUGUUAUUGCUAGUUGUUUCCAAAGUGUGACAAGUAUGAGCUUGUGUACUAGCAGCUAAGUAGCAAAACAUGCUAAUAGUUGAAGCUAAUAACUAAAGGUGAAGUGAACGCUUUUGCUAAACAAACUUAUCAUACGAUCGAGAUUCGUACCGAAGCUCCGCUCAUGUUAGCAGUGGCCUGCUAGCCUGCUAGCUGUUUGUGCAUGUUCACUUUCACGGAUGCUCUCUGCCUUCAUGUUAGCUUUGUUAGCACCUUCCUCUGUCCCAGAACCUUAGCUGUGGUACCAGGAUGUGGAAUCCACUAGCGGUUUAUCUUCACGGGCUUGUUUGGAAUGAUGACUUGUCAGAUAUUCUACUUAUCUUAGAAGCGUAUGCGCUUUUGCUCUGGAGAUUAGCAGCAUUAGUGUGUGCCAGUGGAAGAAUGUUCAUCAAUUGGAAGCGGCUGUGCUUGUCACCGGGAGAAAAUUCACGAGCAGAGCAGCGUAGAAAAAAAAACAAGGCUCUCGUAAGUGAGGAGACGGCGGGUGGGAAGUCAACAGAGGACACAGGAGAAGGAGCCUCGGGCUGAGAGAGGCGUUAAAAUCAAAGUCAACCGGAUUGUUGCCGGUUUUGAUCAGACAAAUGUGCAGUGAUGCAGUUCACCAGCUCUCUCGAGCCUCCACCUACUCCAGCUCAGCUUCAGGUGAAUUAGGGAUCAGAGGAGCUGAGUAUCAGGUUGGUUUCACACAAAGCACCGAGCUGUGAGGAGAUCCAGACGCCGGUGUCACGGGGGCGUUAAAGCAGAGCUCAGCGUGGAGCAGAGCACUAGAAAGCUGUAACCCGACACCGUGUAAUACUUCGGCGGAAUAUAGAAAGGCACGCGGAGCUCAGGUUCACUGGGAGUGGUAUUGAUUGGACACAGAGCCUCUGUGUGCACGUCUAAGGCGGCGGUGCAGGAGCCACGAGCGCACUGAGACUGCGCGAGAGCCACGAGGUUGUUUGAGGAAACGCCUGAAACUCUGUCCUGCGAUCAUCCCUGCUCACAUUGCCUGCAGCACUGUGUGUGUGUGUGUGUGUGUGUGUGUGUGUGUGUGUGUGUGUGUGUGUGUUCAGCGUGCCUUUACGUGUGAGAAAAGCACUUGGAGCAGGAAGUAUUUGCUGAACGCUGAUGUCGUGCAUCCUGGUGCUCUUCGAAAACACACUCAGGCCGCGACUCAAUCAGCCACGUUCCCUAGUUCCCUAGGUGAUGAGUCACUUUAUAGUGCACACACAAUAAAGAUACUGACUUGCUCCACAUCGGGACUCUGGUGUCUGUUUUAUCAUAAUUUUUAAAAAUCACUAAAUAGGAUUAGCAUCCAGUAAGGGAAGGUAGUGUUAUAGGUUAAUAUCCGAAAUAUGAAAUGACAGAUUUCUAAACAUUCUAGCACAAAUAAAAAUGAAACAUCACUUUA